RNAcentral lists this ribosomal RNA (482 nucleotides) under uncultured bacterium. RNAcentral describes it as "partial 16S ribosomal RNA". It matches the Rfam family "Bacterial small subunit ribosomal RNA", at positions 28 to 523 of the family's 1533-position model. The record is from RNAcentral.
GACGAACGCUGGCGGCGCGCCUAACACAUGCAAGUCGAACGGAGCUUAGAGAGCUUGCUUUUUAAGCUUAGUGGCGAACGGGUGAGUAACGCGUGAGUAACCUGCCCUAGAGUGGGGGACAACAGUUGGAAACGACUGCUAAUACCGCAUAAGCCCACGGUACCGCAGGGCACUGAGGGAAAAGGAUUUAUUCGCUUUAGGAUGGACUCGCGUCCAAUUAGCUAGUUGGUGAGGUAACGGCCCACCAAGGCGACGAUUGGUAGCCGGACUGAGAGGUUGAACGGCCACAUUGGGACUGAGACACGGCCCAGACUCCUACGGGAGGCAGCAGUGGGGGAUAUUGCACAAUGGGGGAAACCCUGAUGCAGCGACGCCGCGUGGAGGAAGAAGGUUUUCGGAUUGUAAACUCCUGUCGUUAGGGACGAUAAUGACGGUACCUAACAAGAAAGCACCGGCUAACUACGUGCCAGCAGCCGCCGCCG